GACGAACGCUGGCGGCGUGCCUAAUACAUGCAAGUCGAGCGAGCUUGCCUAGAUGAUUUUAGUGCUUGCACUAAAUGAAACUAGAUACAAGCGAGCGGCGGACGGGUGAGUAACACGUGGGUAACCUGCCUCAAAGAGGGGGACAACAGUUGGAAACGACUGCUAAUACCGCAUAAGCCCACGACCCGGCAUCGGGUUGAGGGAAAAGGAGCAAUCCGCUUUGAGAUGGCCUCGCGUCCGAUUAGCUGGUUGGUGAGGUAACGGCCCACCAAGGCGACGAUCGGUAGCCGGACUGAGAGGUUGAACGGCCACAUUGGGACUGAGACACGGCCCAG
Molecule: ribosomal RNA, 335 nt
Filed under: uncultured bacterium
Lineage: Bacteria
Description: bacterial SSU rRNA
Rfam family: Bacterial small subunit ribosomal RNA
Source: RNAcentral